RNAcentral lists this ribosomal RNA (754 nucleotides) under uncultured bacterium. Its description in RNAcentral is "bacterial SSU rRNA". It matches the Rfam family "Bacterial small subunit ribosomal RNA", at positions 8 to 762 of the family's 1533-position model. The record is from RNAcentral.
AGAGUUUGAUCAUGGCUCAGGAUGAACGCUAGCGGCAGGCUUAACACAUGCAAGUCGAGGGGUAGAGGAAGCUUGCUUCCUUGAGACCGGCGCACGGGUGCGUAACGCGUAUGCAAUCUACCUUAUACAGGGGGAUAGCCCAGAGAAAUUUGGAUUAAUACCCCAUAGUGUAAUUGAGUGGCAUCAUUUGAUUACUAAAGUUCCAACGGUAUAAGAUGAGCAUGCGUCCCAUUAGCUAGUUGGUGUGGUAACGGCACACCAAGGCGACGAUGGGUAGGGGUCCUGAGAGGGAGAUCCCCCACACUGGUACUGAGACACGGACCAGACUCCUACGGGAGGCAGCAGUGAGGAAUAUUGGUCAAUGGGCGCAAGCCUGAACCAGCCAUGCCGCGUGCAGGAUGACGGUCCUAUGGAUUGUAAACUGCUUUUGUACAGGAAGAAACACUCCCUCGUGAGGGAACUUGACGGUACUGUAAGAAUAAGGAUCGGCUAACUCCGUGCCAGCAGCCGCGGUAAUACGGAGGAUCCAAGCGUUAUCCGGAAUCAUUGGGUUUAAAGGGUCCGUAGGCGGUUUUAUAAGUCAGUGGUGAAAUCUGGUCGCUCAACGAUCAAACGGCCAUUGAUACUGUAAGACUUGAAUUACUUGGAAGUAACUAGAAUAUGUAGUGUAGCGGUGAAAUGCUUAGAGAUACAUGGAAUACCAAUUGCGAAGGCAGGUUACUACGAGUGUAUUGACGCUGAUGGACGAAAGCGU